GCCAAAAACCUAGCCCCUCCCCAAAGAAAAAUGAACAACAAAAUUAACCUCAUUAACCAAAACAUUUUUAUACCUUAGUAAAGGCGAUUGAAAAACUAAUAGGAGCUACAUCUAAAGUACCGCAAGGGAAAGGUGAAAUAAAAUGAAAUAAACAUUAAGCACUUAAAAGUAGAGAUUAACCCUCGUACCUUUUGCAUCAUGGUUUAACUAGUCUAAUCAAGCAAAACGACUUAUAGUUUGACCCCCCGAAACUAAGCGAGCUACUUCAGGGCAGCUUAUUGAGCAAACCCGUCCCUGUUGCAAAAGGGUGGGAAGACCCCCAAGUAGAGGUGAUAGACCUAACGAGCCUAGUGAUAGCUGGUUACUCGAGAAAAAGAUUUUAGUCCAGCCUAAAGACUCAUUAAUACUAAAAUAUAAUUUAAUGCUUUAGAGUAAUUCAAAUAAGGUACAGCCUAUUUGAUUCAGGAUACAACCUCACCUGAAGGGUAAAAAAACAUUCUACAACAACCAAGUGGGCCUAAAAGCAGCCAUCUUAAAAUAGCGUCAAAGCUUAAUUGUUAACACUCUCAAUUCCAAAAAUAAUCUAGAACCCUCCACCACUAUCGAGUAAUUCUAUAUAUCUAUAGAAUAUUUUAUGUUAAAACUAGUAACAAGAAGAAGACCUUCUCUUAAAUGUAAGUGUAAAUCAAAAAGAACCGACAAAUGAUUAUUAACAUACUUGAACAAAAAUUAGCAACCCAACAAGAAAAACCUACUUUUUUUUAUGUUAACCUAACACAAGAACAUUACAAGAAAGAUUAAAAGAAAAAGAAGGAACUCGGCAAACAUUAACCCCGCCUGUUUACCAAAAACAUCGCCUCUUGAACAAAUAUAAGAGGUCCAGCCUGCCCAGUGACUCUGUUCAACGGCCGCGGUAUCCUAACCGUGCGAAGGUAGCGUAAUCACUUGUUCUUUAAAUAAGGACUAGUAUGAAUGGCACCACGAAGGUUAUACUGUCUCCUUUUUCUAAUCAGUGAAACUAAUCCCCCCGUGAAGAAGCGGGGAUAAAUGUAUAAGACGAGAAGACCCUAUGGAGCUUUAAACUAAAUAACACCUGCUUCAAUAAUUUUUAUUUCAGAAUACUAACAUCUAUUUUAGCUUCAUGAUUUUUAGUUUUAGGUUGGGGUGACCACGGAGCAAAAUAAAACCUCCAUAUUGAAUGGGACUAUAAACCCUGAGCAAAGAGCAACAACUCUAUGCACCAAUAAAUUGACAUCAAUUGACCCAAUAUUUUGAUCAAUGAACCAAGUUACCCUAGGGAUAACAGCGCAAUCCGCCUCAAGAGCCCCUAUCGACAGGCGGGUUUACGACCUCGAUGUUGGAUCAGGGUACCCCGGUGGUGCAGCCGCUACCAAAGGUUCGUUUGUUCAACGAUUAAAACCCU
Molecule: ribosomal RNA, 1423 nt
Filed under: Pseudacris crucifer (spring peeper)
Lineage: Eukaryota; Metazoa; Chordata; Amphibia; Anura; Hylidae
Description: partial 16S ribosomal RNA
Rfam family: Bacterial large subunit ribosomal RNA
Source: RNAcentral